AUACGUAGGGGGCGAGCGUUGUCCGGAAUCAUUGGGCGUAAAGAGCUCGUAGGCGGUUCAGUAAGUCGGGUGUGAAAGCUCCGAGCUCAACUCGGAGACGCCACUCGAUACUGCUGUGACUAGAAUCCAGUAGGGGAGUGUGGAACUCCUGGUGUAGCGGUGAAAUGCGCAGAUAUCAGGAAGAACACCAGCGGCGAAGGCGGCACUCUGGGCUGGUAUUGACGCUGAGGAGCGAAAGUGUGGGUAGC
This 248-nucleotide ribosomal RNA is filed under the name uncultured bacterium. RNAcentral's name for it is "partial 16S ribosomal RNA". It matches the Rfam family "Bacterial small subunit ribosomal RNA", at positions 523 to 769 of the family's 1533-position model. The record is from RNAcentral.